GAUCAGUGGAUACACUUGUCUCCCUUUAAAGGAGACACUCUUAGAGAGAGACGAUCAGAGUCAUCCUUAAAUAUGGGCAGGAUAUCACUAUUGGACUGUCUAACCUGCAGGAGCAGCACUGAAUGACCACCACACAUGAUCAGUUCCUGCAACAUUCAGCAGCUCUGCUUUUGUGUCAGAUGUCCAACAGCUGGAGAGGAAACUACACCAGUGUACGGGAUGUUUCACCAACACGUGCCAGACGCUGUUCCUUCAUGGUGACAUCACCAGAGACGGCCCCGCCCACCUCAGGACCUCGCCAUUGAUCAUGAUGAUUUUAAUGAUGACAGCGAGCGGAACUAAGACUGUAAAAUCAGAAUGUUUAGAUGCUUUCUAAUUAUUAAUGAAUACUGAGAGCCUCUUUCUGUGUUUUGUCUGUUUUGGGUUUUUUUUACCUCAUUUGUUACUAACAAAGUUCACCAAACUCACACAGUUUACAUUCUGUAUGUUUCCAUCUUUACCAGCCACAGUCUACCCGCAAUUAAGAAAAUAAUCCUUAGAAAUUGUCGUUUUUCUCUUUGUAAUUUUGUAAUUCAGUGAAUAUACUGCGCUGCUUCCUU
Long non-coding RNA from Oreochromis niloticus (Nile tilapia), 599 nucleotides. RefSeq lists it as uncharacterized. The transcript is spliced from 3 exons. The record is from RefSeq and is a predicted model, not a curated record. Lineage: Eukaryota; Metazoa; Chordata; Actinopteri; Cichliformes; Cichlidae.